GUCCUUUUGAUUGUAAUUUAAGGUCUGACCUGCCCACUGAUUUAAAUUGAAGGGCCGCGGUAUUUUGACCGUGCAAAGGUAGCAUAAUCAUUAGUCUUUUAAUUGGAGGCUGGAAUGAAGGGUUGGACGAGGCAUAAACUGUCUCAUUGUAAUUGGAGCUAGAAUUUAACUUUUGGGUGAAAAGGCUUAAAUGGGUUUAAAGGACGAGAAGACCCUAUAGAUCUUUAUAUUAAGGGCUUUAUUAAUAAUUUAGUUAGAUUAGUUUUAUUAGAGAAUUAAAUAUUUUGUUGGGGUGACAGGAAGAUAGAGUGAACUCUUUCUUACAAAGGACACUGAUUUGUGUAUCGAUGAU
RNAcentral lists this ribosomal RNA (352 nucleotides) under Togoperla limbata. RNAcentral's name for it is "partial 16S ribosomal RNA". The record is from RNAcentral. Lineage: Eukaryota; Metazoa; Arthropoda; Insecta; Plecoptera; Perlidae.